Molecule: ribosomal RNA, 450 nt
Filed under: uncultured bacterium
Lineage: Bacteria
Description: partial 16S ribosomal RNA
Rfam family: Bacterial small subunit ribosomal RNA
Source: RNAcentral
GUGGGGAAUCUUCCGCAAUGGACGAAAGUCUGACGGAGCAACGCCGCGUGAGUGAUGAAGGUCUUCGGAUUGUAAAGCUCUGCUAAUCGGGACGAAAGAGCCUAGUGUGAAUAAUGCUAGGAAGUGACGGUACCGGAAUAGAAAGCCACGGCUAACUACGUGCCAGCAGCCGCGGUAAUACGUAGGUGGCAAGCGUUGUCCGGAAUUAUUGGGCGUAAAGCGCGCGCAGGCGGAUCUGCCAGUCUGUCUUGAAAGUUCGGGGCUUAACCCCGUGAUGGGAUGGAAACUACAGAUAUAGAGUAUCGGAGAGGAAAGUGGAAUUCCUAGUGUAGCGGUGAAAUGCGUAGAUAUUAGGAAGAACACCAGUGGCGAAGGCGACUUUCUGGACGAAAACUGACGCUGAGGCGCGAAAGCCAGGGGAGCGAACGGGAUUAGAAACCCGUGUAGUCC